Molecule: long non-coding RNA, 339 nt
Filed under: Solanum pimpinellifolium
Lineage: Eukaryota; Viridiplantae; Streptophyta; Magnoliopsida; Solanales; Solanaceae
Description: long non-coding RNA (SPIM_LNC000195)
Source: RNAcentral
CAAUAACUCGGGAUUUAAUCCCAUAGAGAUGAUAAAUCUUUGGCCUAUAAAUUCAAUAAAUGAAUAUUACCUCUCGAUGAUCUUGAAUCAGAUCAAUAUCAUGAAUAACAAUAUCUGAACUAUCAAAUCAAUUCGUCGUCGAGAAUUGAAUAGUAUAACAUAGGAAGUUCUUUUAUCCAUAUUGCCCCAAACUUGGAUUGCUGACCUAAUCCAAAAUUCCUUUAUUUAUUUAUUAUUUUUUAUUAUCUGUUCUUUUUUUUCUCUCUAAUAUAUCUAGUUCCUUAUUUUAUUGUACAAUCAUCUGAUGAAGUCUCAUCAAAUAGUUCUUCCACUUCCAGU